UACGUAGGGUGCGAGCGUUGCCCGGAUUUAUUGGGCGUAAAGGGCGCGUAGGCGGCCACGCACGUCCGUUGUGAAAUCGCCCGGCUCAACUGGGCGGGGUCAGCGUAUACGGUGUGGCUCGAGCAAGCUAGGGGGCAAUGGAAUUCCCGGUGUAGUGGUGGAAUGCGUAGAUAUCGGGAGGAACACCAGUGGCGAAGGCGGUUGCCUGGAGCUUUGCUGACGCUGAUGCGCGAAAGCGUGGGGAGCGAUCCGG
This 253-nucleotide ribosomal RNA is filed under the name uncultured bacterium. RNAcentral describes it as "partial 16S ribosomal RNA". It matches the Rfam family "Bacterial small subunit ribosomal RNA", at positions 524 to 776 of the family's 1533-position model. The record is from RNAcentral.